This 355-nucleotide unclassified non-coding RNA is filed under the name soil metagenome. RNAcentral describes it as "partial contains 5.8S ribosomal RNA, internal transcribed spacer 2, and large subunit ribosomal RNA". The stretch from base 1 to 120 matches the Rfam family "5.8S ribosomal RNA", at positions 35 to 154 of the family's 154-position model. The record is from RNAcentral.
GAUGAAGAACGCAGCGAAAUGCGAUAAGUAGUGUGAAUUGCAGAAUUCAGUGAGUCAUCGAAUCUUUGAACGCACAUUGCGCCUUCUAGUAUUCUGGGAGGCAUGCCUGUUUGAGCGUCAUUAAACCUCUCUCAAGUAUGAUUACUUGGAUGUGAAGGAAGAGUACCUUAAACUUAAGGAGUGUUCUCCUUUGAAAUUGAUUAGCAGAUGGUAAUGUUAUUAAAUCCCUGAUGUUGUAAGAAAUAACAGUGGUUUUGUAGACUAUUAUCUAGCUUUAAAUUAUAAUUUUUAUUAUGGUUGACCUCAAAUCAGGUAAGGAUACCCGCUGAACUUAAGCAUAUCAAUAAGCGGAGGA